This 259-nucleotide ribosomal RNA is filed under the name uncultured bacterium. RNAcentral describes it as "partial 16S ribosomal RNA". It matches the Rfam family "Bacterial small subunit ribosomal RNA", at positions 524 to 776 of the family's 1533-position model. The record is from RNAcentral.
UACGUAGGGCGCAAGCGUUGUCCGGAAUUAUUGGGCGUAAAGAGCUCGUAGGCGGCUUGUCACGUCGAUUGUGAAAACGCCCGAGGCUUAAACCUCGGGGCUCUGCAGCUCGAUACGGGCUGGCUAGAUGGUGUGGGAGGGAGAUCGAAUUCCUGGUGUAGCGGUGAAAUGCGCAGAUAUCAGGAGGAACACCGGUGGCGAAGGCGGAUCUCUGGGCCAUUACUGACGCUGAGGAGCGAAAGCGUGGGGAGCAAACAGG